Long non-coding RNA from Betta splendens (Siamese fighting fish), 2424 nucleotides. Lineage: Eukaryota; Metazoa; Chordata; Actinopteri; Anabantiformes; Osphronemidae. The record is from Ensembl.
UUAAUUAAGCCCAGCGUCAUGUUUGGACCAGAGCUUCCCGGGUACUCGCUCCACCAUCUCCUUCUGUAACUCAGAAUGUUGAUGACAAAACACAGUCUAACAGGGAAUGCUGAUGACUUGUGGGGAAGCCCAACCCUCAGCAGGAAUAGCUAUUUUUAAAAUGAAUUAUCUUCCCUCACCCAAAUGUUGUUAUUUUCAGUGGAUCUAAACUUAGCCUGCUUUGAUUCCACGAUCAUUUGGCCCAAAUCAUUUGGCUCGUACCCUAGGUUUACUAAAAGAGAGACAUGCGGCUUGCUGUUUGUUAUUUUAAAUUCCUGAUCUAAACACUUGCCUUUUUCAACAGUCAUUGCUGCUCCCUGUCUUCCCAGGACAAUAGAAGCAGAUUGGAUGGGGAUUUUCUUUGGCUGUUGUUUUAUCCAAUCAGCUGGUUGAGCCUCAGAUUCUGUUUUGAAAUACUGAAGUGUGCAAUGAGGAGGACACACAGGUCGGGACGCUUCAGGCAUGUUGGCUUUAAUAAAGUCCAUCCAUAUUUCAGCUGCAUUCAUGAAAGUCUCAUCGAUGUUUCCAAGCCAAUACACCAGUUCUUCUUUUUUUUUCACAGUCAUUUGACACUGCGCUGUGUAAACAAUCACUCCAUCAGGUGUACACAGAAUGGUACAGCCUCGUUUACACAAAGCAUCUCGUCUGAGUAAGUUCACAGAUGUCUGGUCUGAAAUUAAUACUGGCAGUUCCACUGUUCUUCCUUGGAACUGCAGAGGAUUCGGGUCUGAUUGGGGAAUCAGCUGCUUUGUCCCUGAGAAUCCAAAGAUCCGUACAUAUUGUCCAGAUCUUGGGAGGUGGUCAGAAUCAGCGUUGCUCACACAAGUAUAAGCAUAUAUAUAAGUCAGCCAUCAUGUUCACCGGUUUACCGGCUACAUUAACCGGCACCAAAGGCUCUUCAUCAGGGCUCGAGACAGAUUUUAAUGGCAACUGACACUCCCCUCCCAGAUUCCCCUGAUCCUCAGGGCACCCCUAGUAUCCAGCAGGAGGACCCUGCCAUGGGCUGGUGGGUCCCAUCUGCUGUGGUGCUCCUUGUGGGAUCUGGCGCACCGACCUGUAACACUGAAGUCUCAUGUUUCCGACUCUCCCACAGUGGUAGCACCUUACCUCAUUUUCUUGAUUACCCCACAUCACCCGCGCUCUUCCAACUGCGGCUCCCCCUCUCAUCCUUGGUGGGCCGCCUCUCCAGCCUCCUGGUCACCCACUGCCAGGAUGUUGGCUAUGGUUUCUUCUUCGAAGGCUGUAACCCAUUUCCUGGCGCCAUCAUGCAGAGACGGCAUUCUCUGCACCAGCCCCUCCAGACCCAUUGUUGGCCAUACUGCAGAUUCUCUCCUUUGGCCAGCACGGGGUAUUCGGAUGCCUCCUCUACUACCUCUGCUGACACUGGAUGUCCCUUGGAGCUGAGCGUGAUGACACCUUCCAUCUGUCCGUGCUCUUCUACUACUUCACUGCCGGGAUCAAAGGCUUCAGGAAGAGGUAUCUUUUCCUUCAUCCCGGGCUGCUUGGGCUUAGCACCAGCCUGUUGAUGGAGGGGUAGACACCAUGCUUGGAUCUGGCAACUUAGAGUACUGUACCUCUGCCAGGGAUCUUCGGACUCUUUUACUCUCCCUGGUUGCUCCUUCUUCUUCACCUUGCUUCUCGCCCUCGCCGCUGUCCUCUGCGCGCUCAAAUUUUUUUAUGUCACGCAUUACUUUAUUAUGUAAGCCACUAAUACGAUGAGUGUCUUUCCCUGCAAGCUGAACUGCUUUAGCAUUUGUGGCAGGCAGGUCUUCUAGGUCAUCUAACUCUGCCUCUCUCUCCCUGACCUUUCUUAACUCUUCGAUCGGAUAGAUGCUUUUACGUGAUCUACCGGACCUAAGUGAAUUGUCACCUAAAAGUCUAAUCUCCCGCACCACCAUCUGCAGCAUAAAACAGGGGGCUCUGCUUUUGAGGAGGCUCCCUUCUUUCUCUCCUCCUUUUUCCGUUCAAUCUGCUUUUUCACAUAUUCAGCUGUUUUCUCCCUCAAGAGUUGGGCUUGGUCCGUGAAUAGCCUUAGCAUCGCAACCUCACGCUUACACAGUCGCUUGGCAGAUUUAUUUUUUAUUUUAUAAUUUUUUAUUAACCCUUCCAUGUCAACACAUUGCUCAUAGUCAAAUGUUCCAUCGGAUGGCCUGGGUGACGGAGCUUUACCCGUCCGCUUAUUCCAUUUCUCUAUUUUUCAUACAUUAACAAGGCAGCCACGCAUUAAGUACAUCACAGUGGGGGGUCAUGACUGGUGUAGGGGGGCUUGGUGGAAUGGUACCUAAGUCAUGCUAAUGUCAUGACGAGAUCAGUGUAAAAUCGGGCAGGAGUGAGGCAGCAAAAACUUGCCGCUCUACCUGUACAAUAAAAAUGGAUAAAAACACA